This 74-nucleotide transfer RNA is filed under the name Actinomycetes bacterium. RNAcentral describes it as "Actinobacteria bacterium tRNA-Pro". It matches the Rfam family "tRNA". From Rfam's summary of the family: Transfer RNA (tRNA) molecules are approximately 80 nucleotides in length. Their secondary structure includes four short double-helical elements and three loops (D, anti-codon, and T loops). Lineage: Bacteria; Bacillati; Actinomycetota; Actinomycetes. RNAcentral also lists the same sequence under 1 other name. The record is from RNAcentral.
CGGGGCGUGGCGCAGUCUGGUAGCGCAUCCGCUUUGGGAGCGGAAGGUCCCCGGUUCAAAUCCGGGCGCCCCGA